Molecule: long non-coding RNA, 3744 nt
Organism: Pan troglodytes (chimpanzee)
Lineage: Eukaryota; Metazoa; Chordata; Mammalia; Primates; Hominidae
Source: Ensembl
AUGUAUGAAAGGGCGGGACCGCCCCAUAGGGACCCCACCCAUAGGGACGGGCUGCAUUGCGCAUGUCUGCAAGGGCGUGGCAAGGGGAGGAAUGAGCGGGAAGGGGCGGGGCUGAGUGGACUGGCGGGACGAGAAAAGGGGCGGGGCGUGCCCAAUCCGGGCCGAGGAGCGUUACCAUGGCAACCGUGCCGCGGAGGCCUUGAGAGGCCACACGCCCUAUGUUGGUCUGCGAGAAAUCAAACUUCGAACAGGACAAGCCCGAAGCCCGCUUCUCCGGGAGACGGGGUGCCACAACUGCAAGGCAUGGAAUCCCAGGGAGCAUCCUGCACUCUCAGUGUCCAGCUGUCUGAGGCCACACUUGUUUCUGAUGAUAGAGAACAAUUGCUUUUUUCUGAGAGACUUAGCACUCCAUGGCUGAGGUAAGCUGCAUUCUAUAGAGCAUUGAUUCCAUUUUCUCAUUACUCUGUGGUUCCUUCUUUAAUUUUUAAUCUAGAGAUGAAAUUAUAUUUGCCAAUAUUUGUGUAAAAUAGAAAUAUAAGUCUGGCAAGUAGACCAUUAGAUGCAGCCCUCAGCAGAAAUUCUUGCCUGUUUCUCUUCUCACUUUUAUUCAACUAUUGGCACAGAGAGAUGCCCUGAUAUGUGGUCUCUCAGGAGUAAUUAGAACAUUGUACUUCUAGAAAAGCUGAUGGGACAGGGCAGGGCUCAGAGUGAGGGUCAAAGCUUCUGUCCAAAUCUCUCAGUCUCUAUCUGUAUGUGGUAGCUGGACUCAGGAAAGACCCUAGAGCUCUGGAAGAGAUCAUUAAGAGAAAACAAAAUCCCUGUAAAUUAGAGUGCCAGGGAACAUGUUCAUCAGUCACCUUCAGAGUCAGAUGCUCAGGGCUGAGCCUGUGUGGGAGGGCGCAGAGCAGUGCAUGCCUGGGAAAACCUCUGAUUAUGUAUGAGUGAUGAGGCUCUGCCUCAAGGAGAAGUCCUGUAUCUGACAGAACAUGCUGUUUCUGUGCGUGUGAGAUUCAGUGCCCUUCCUCAGCAGAGCACCACUGAGUGAAUAAUUGUUUUAGGAUCCGGCAUAUGGAGGCCAAUUUUAUUUUGAAUUUCUCAUAGACAGAAACAGAAAGGAUAAUUUUCCACUUUGAAAUUGAGUAAGAGUGUCAGAAACAUCAGUAAAAAAGUCACAGGAGAAAAAUCUGGGGUCUUAUUUAUCCCCAGAAACCACAAAAAUCCUGAUACAACCUGUAAGAAUUCACCUUGUAAAAACUUGUUUUUUUUUUCAGUAUAGAUUUAUCUUUCAUUUGACCUUCAUUUUAUUGCAGGUUAUAAUUAGUACAUGAUUUUUUACCUUUAUGAUAGAAACAUCAGAUUCCUAAACCCAAAUCAUUAAUGAUGGCUCCCCAGCUGUAGUUUUUAUUGCCAAUUUACGUUUUGCUAUGAUCUGAACUUGUGUCUCCUUCUAAAAACUCAUUUGUAAAAGUUUAAUCCCUAAUGUGAUAGUUUUAAAACAUGGAGCUUUUUGGGAUGUGACUAACUCAGGAGGGCUUCAUCCUCGUUAAUGUAAUGAAUACCCUGUAAUAAAGGUUGAAGCGAGCACCCUUGUCCCUUCUGCCAUGUGCGGACAUAGCAAGAAGGCAUCAUUUAUGAGAAAUGGGACCCUCACCAGACACUGAAUUUGCUGGUGCUUUGAUCUUGAAUUUUCCAGCUUCCAGAACUGUGACCAAUACAUUUCUGUUAUUUAUACAUGACCCAGUCUAAUGUACUUUGUUUUAGCAGCCUGAACAAAGACACUUUCUCAUGUACUGUGGUUUAUUUUUGAAUUUAUACUUCCACUGAGCUAUCCAUAUAUUCAUUAAUCAACUUGUCUCAUAGAGUGUAAUAGCCACUCUAAUUAUUUUUUUCAAAGUGUUCUCAGCUGUUCUUAUUUGUGUUUUCAUCUAUACGAGUUCCGCAAUAAAAUGCCUGCUUUCUCCACCAGAUGGUAUGUCUAUUGGGACAAAAUUAAAUUUUUGAACUACUUCUAACAAAUUGAUGAUUGAGUAAUAUUGAGUUUUUCUAUCUUAGAACAUGAUGUGGUUUUCCACUUUUUUAUGCUGAUUUUCUCAUAUUUCAAAAACUUUUUAUGAUCUUUCUCAUACUUUUUACAAAUUUUUGUUAGAUUUAUGUAUGGCUAGUUUAUUUUACUUUGUCCUGUUAAAAAGUAAACUGUAGCACAAUACAAAUUUUAAAAGUUUUAUUGGCUGGGAAUGAUGGCUUAUAUCUGUGAUUCCAGCACUUUGAGAGGCCAAGGUGAGAGAUUACUUGAGCCCAGGAGUUUGAGGCCAGCCUGGGAAACAUAGUAAGACCCUAUCUCUAUGAAAAAAUAAGAAGAAAUUAGCUGGGUGUAGAGGUCCAUUCCUGUACUUGUAGCUACUCAUGGGGUAAGGUGGGAGGAUGGCUUGAGCUCAGGAUGUAAGGCUUCAGAGAGCUCCGAUUCUGUCUAUGCAUUCCAGCAUGGGCAACAGAGCAGGAAUCUGUUUCAAAAAACAUUUUCUUGAGUAGGAAGCAACUAAUGAAUUGUGGAACAUGAGACCAAAAAAGGUUUAGCAUUUAAAUGACAAAGUGUCAGAGGUAAGAUUGUAUUGAAAAUAUGCAGAAGGAAAAUAUUUAAGUUAUUUAAUUAGUUGCAGUUAAAAAACUGUCUUUUUUGGUUUAUCUUAUAGACAUAUAUUACUAUACCUUCUUGGGUACUUCUGAUAAACUUAAGUUCUGUUAUUGUUGAUUUUUAAUACAGGUAUUCACAAAAAUAGCUCACAUUAUGUUUUGCUUGUUUGCAAGUCAACAAGAUGAGGUCACCGAAAAGGUCUAACUGAUUCUGUCUGCUCAGGAAUGUUUCAGGCUUGGUCUCCCUUUUAAUUUACCUUGUAAAUCAUUUUGUAAUUUUUAUCUCCUACCCAUUCUGUAACUUGUUAAUUACUUUUAUACACAUGUAAUAUCUUUUAUGUGUGAUUUCUAAGUAUAUUACUAGUGAACAUUGACUGUUACAAGGCAUACCUUGUCUUAUUGCAAUUUAUUGUGCUUCCCAAGUGUUGGAUUUCUUACAAAUUGAGGGGUUUUGGCAACCUUACCUUCAGUGACUCUGUCAACAAUAUUUUUUCCAACAUCAUGUGAUCUGUGUGUGUGUGUGUAUCUUUGUCAGCAUUUUUAUCAAUAAAGUACAUUUUUUAUUAAGGUAUAUACAUUGUUAUUGUAAACCUAGUCUGUUUCAGUCUUAUUCUACAGUACAGUGUAAAUAUCUCUUUUAUAUGCACUGAGAAACAAGAAAAGCUGUGUGACUCACAUUAUUGUGAUAUUUGUCUUAUUGCACUGCUCUAGAGCAAAACUAGAUAUCUCCAAGGUAUAUUUGUAUAUUUUCAUUGAAUUGGCUCCAUUUACUGGAAUGAUAAAUCACUAUUCUUCGACUAAAACAAGAGCUGUGGAGUGUGGAGAGGUCAGGGUGAAAAUAAAGAAGAAGUGAAGAUAAAAAGUCCUCUAACUCACACAUAGAGUAAAUACAAGUUCAGUAUGGAUGAAAUACAAAAUUAUCUAAAAUUGAAUAUUCUCAAAAACAUUAAUGUUUGUAUCAUUAUGUGUAUGAAAAUUAUCAGGCAAAGAACAAAAGUACAUUUAGAUGAUGAAAGAUUUCAUCUCACUGUAAAAUUCAAGAAGAAAAAUAUAAAUAUAGCAAUAUGUGAAAUAAACGACAAUAUAUUACAUUUAAUGUCCUACAAUACAGUA